GGACGAACGCUGGCGGCGUGCUUAACACAUGCAAGUCGAGCGGAAAGGCCCUUCGGGGUACUCGAGCGGCGAACGGGUGAGUAACACGUGAGUAACCUGCCCCAGACUUUGGGAUAACCCUCGGAAACGGGGGCUAAUACCGGAUACGACACAGCUUCGCAUGGGGUCUGUGUGGAAAGUUUUUCGGUUUGGGAUGGGCUCGCGGCCUAUCAGCUUGUUGGUGGGGUGAUGGCCUACCAAGGCGACGACGGGUAGCCGGCCUGAGAGGGCGACCGGCCACACUGGGACUGAGACACGGCCCAGACUCCUACGGGAGGCAGCAGUGGGGAAUAUUGCACAAUGGGCGGAAGCCUGAUGCAGCGACGCCGCGUGAGGGAUGACGGCCUUCGGGUUGUAAACCUCUUUCAGCAGGGACGAAGCGUAAGUGACGGUACCUGCAGAAGAAGCGCCGGCCAACUACGUG
Molecule: ribosomal RNA, 463 nt
Filed under: uncultured bacterium
Lineage: Bacteria
Description: partial 16S ribosomal RNA
Rfam family: Bacterial small subunit ribosomal RNA
Source: RNAcentral